Molecule: ribosomal RNA, 253 nt
Filed under: uncultured bacterium
Lineage: Bacteria
Description: partial 16S ribosomal RNA
Rfam family: Bacterial small subunit ribosomal RNA
Source: RNAcentral
UACAGAGGUCCCAAGCGUUGUUCGGAUUCAUUGGGCGUAAAGGGUGCGUAGGCGGUAUUGCAAGUCGAAUGUGAAAUCUCGGGGCUCAACCCCGAAACUGCAUUCGAUACUGCAGAACUCGAGGACUGUAGAGGAGAAUGGAAUUCACGGUGUAGCAGUGAAAUGCGUAGAUAUCGUGAGGAAGACCAGUGGCGAAGGCGAUUCUCUGGGCAGUUCCUGACGCUGAGGCACGAAGGCUAGGGUAGCGAACGGG